UACAUCUGGCCGCAGGAUGCCGCGUGUAGUGAUGAAUGCCCUCUGGUUUGAAAACUCUUUUUAUACGGGAAAAAAUGACUCUACCUGGUAAAGAAACCCCGGACAACUCCAUGCCAGAACCCCCAACUCCAUGCCAGGGGUUACGGUUGUACGGAAGUUCCGGGCGUUAUCCGGACUCAUUGGGUUUAAAGGGUCCGAGGUGAAAUCCCUGGGUCCAACCUGAAAACUGCCUUCUAAACUGCUAAUCUGGAGUUCAAGAGAGGUGAGUGGAAUUCCAAUGGUGUAGGUGAAAUUCGUAGAGAUUCGGAGAAAUGCCUAUGUCUAACGCGGAUCACUGAUUGCAUACGGACCCUAAUAUGCUAAAACGGACGCAGCAGACAGAAAUAGAGACCCUGGAACUCGAUUACAUACCCUAGGUAGUCCACGCCGUAAACUAUGAUCCCUCUCUGUUACACAUCUAUUGGAUUAUUCAUUCCGCCUGGGGAGUGUGGUCCCCCGAGUGAAUCUCACUGGAAUUGACAGACUCAAAGGAAUUGAGGGUGAC
This 544-nucleotide ribosomal RNA is filed under the name uncultured marine bacterium. RNAcentral describes it as "bacterial SSU rRNA". It matches the Rfam family "Bacterial small subunit ribosomal RNA", at positions 378 to 940 of the family's 1533-position model. The record is from RNAcentral.